Molecule: long non-coding RNA, 13310 nt
Filed under: Triticum aestivum (bread wheat)
Lineage: Eukaryota; Viridiplantae; Streptophyta; Magnoliopsida; Poales; Poaceae
Description: long non-coding RNA (TAES_LNC026401)
Source: RNAcentral
CCACAAAGAUAGAAAGCUACAGAUACAACCGCCGGAAACGCAACUCCUAAGUAAAACAAAAAUCUCCUACAUAACAUAGUUUUUCUACAAAUCAAGGAUGAAGACUGUCCAGGUGGUGCUCAUAUGCCUUGUCCUUUCGGUGCUCUGUUCAGGUAUUUUGCCGGUAUGUUUUUCUCCACCGCACUUGUAGGAAAUAUAUUUCGGCUUAUCCAUGCUCCUCCUCUCGAAACCCCGCAGGCAUCGCUGCUCGCUGUGCCCAGUACAACGUCUCCAAGGCAUGUCCAAGCAUAGCUUCAUGCACAGCACUAUGCACCUAUAAAUAUAAGGCGGACACGGUUUAUGGUGUAUGUGCUGAUAACGGAUGCUGGUGCGUAGUCUGCGUGAUACCACCUGCAGCUCAAUCUGCGUCUGCAGCCCAGAUUGCGCCCGCAGGGAAUUAAAGGAUAUCGCUUGCUUCCCUUUCUGCCUAAAUAGAAUAAAACAAUGUCUGAUUAAUGUAUUUUUCUCGUACCGACAACAUUGUAUCGGUGUAAGGACCCGUGAGGCAAAAUAACAUCCUAUUAAUAUUGAGCGCUCUUUGGCGAAAUGCAUGAUUAAUUAAUUGGACACUGUAGAGGAUGUAUAAAUAUCCUUUCAUUGCGAGUGGCCAUGAAAAUACGUUUGUGGAUUUUUUUUCUCUCCAUGUUGAGAACAUUACCAAACCAUCGGAAUCGGUCCUCCAUGCAAGUUGCAUCUGGAUGGGAGAUUCACAGCCAAGAUAGUGAAUAACCAGUUCCAUAAGCAACCUUGUUCUGAUCUCAUCAAAACUAUCAAACCCAUCACUUCACACCAUAAACCUGGCAAGCCGGUUCAAAUCUGGUCGAGAAGAAGCCCUUGGGGCCUUGGUGGUCGUCUGAAAGGCAACUUGAAUCACAAAGAGACUGUCCCUGACGGACCUGCAGGGUCUGCAGCGGCGAUCAUCAGCAUAGCGGAUCGAUCAUGAGAUGAAUGCUAAAGCGGCAAGCUAACAUUUGGCAAACGCUGGGUGAAGACAACUGAUGAAAAGUACCCACACGGAUAAUCCAUGCUAACCGAGGCCAGCAGCCGCAUGCAUGGCCAGCACGAGACCUUGGUGCACUAGUAGAAAAAGGCCCAUUUGUCCCGGUUCCAGAGGCCCUUCUGUCCCGGUUUUGGACCCGGGACUAAAGCCCAUGACCUUUAGUCCCGGUUCUCUUACGAACCGGGACAGAUGGGCCUCCAUGUGGCCUCUCCGCCGAGCCCAGGCAGGAGGGCCUUUGGUCCCAGUUCGUAACACCAACUGGGACCAAAAAGUGUCCACGUGUCAGCAGCUCAGGAGCUGGGGCUUUUGUUUUUUUGAAGGGGAGGAGGUUGGGGGUUUGGGAGUUGUUAAUUGGGCCAGACAGCCCAUCUAAGGAAGCCACACGAGACGGUCGACGGAGCCCAGUCGCGCGAGUGGAUCGAGCACCAAGAUCCCAACCGAGGCGAGCGAGGAGGAGCGCGAGAAUCGAACGCGACGCCCUUCAUCUGAGGUUGCAAGGGAAGCCGAUCCAGCCGACGAGGGAAUCCAGCGGACACGCCGGAUGCGGAUGAAGAAGAGGCCCGGUCGAUCCCUCUAUGAAGUGGGAAGGGGGACGCGGGCGAUGAUGUUGGGCAACCCAUCUGCUGGGAACUGAUCGCAAUCAUACUUCAGUUUCUAAGAUCGCAUUCAUGGCGAUUGUUGUGCCCAUCCUUUUCGCUGUCAUGUGGUACUUCUAUAUUGUUCCUCCCAUAACAAUCCUCGGUCACCCUCUCUACUCUGACAUCACAAGCAUCUUUCAGCAUCAUGCUCUGGUAUUACUUAUGCAUGAUUCCUCAAGAUUCGUCAUUGAGGUUUACAAUCGUUCAUUAUUAUACUUGUUCUUUCAGAUUCGUCAUUGUGCCCUACAUGAGUCUCUGUCAAAAUUUGCAUGUGUUAACUCUGUAUGUAUGUAUGCAAUUUGAUAUUUUAAAAUACUAACAUUUGUCCACUUUGUCCUAAAGUAGUUUUUGCUGCAUGGACGUGAGCAGAGCGAAGGUAUCCCAUUAUCAUGAUUCAGAGGACUCAUGUUAUUCUCUCUAUUGUCAAUGCAACCGACUCCGGUUUAUAUCUCUUCUUGGAAUAAAAAAAUGCAUAUAUGAACCUGACUUCUUAUGUAGCUAUGUUCAAUCAACACAUCAGAAUGUUUUUGUUGGGCUGCAGACAUCCCUGUUCUACGACAGGUGAUACAUAGGGAAUUAGGAUUUUAGAAAAUUUGCAUACAUAAAUCUUCGGACGUAAAACAUGUAAAUGUGGACAAGUAUGAAAGCAAUACAAAAGACAACAUUUUUAUUUUCAAGUUAUAAAGUGGAAUCCAUAGAUUACACAGGAAUGUUAUCUCCUAAAAGUGAAUAAUAACAAGACAUCCGUUCAUUCAAAUUGGUGAAUAUUUCUCAAGAUGGGUAAGAUUGACUUUCUCAGAUAGAGUGCAGUAUUGUGACGGUCUCUUUGACUACAUACAUGUUUGUCUCUCUGUUGUGAACUUGCAAGACCUGGAACAACCAGCCUAUUUGUUCAAAUUUCGAAAUCUUGGUGAUGUUGUUUUUCCCUCUUUGCGCAUACUUCUCCUAUUGUUUGGCGACAAACACUUCAUUGCUAAUCUGCCUUUCAAUGACUAUAUCCUUUUUGGCUGAUAGUCCUCUUAAACCUUUAAAUCAGUUUUUUUUAACUGGUGCUCAAUAUAAUGGAUUGUAAUGGUCAGCUGCUUAAUAUAAGAGCUUGGUAACUUGACUUUACGAAUUUAUCGUCCCUUUUUUGAAAUAUUUACUGUCAAUUCUGAGGUGGUGGGCGGCCUAGUGGAGGCUUAGGUAUGUUGAUGGUCCAUCUCCCUUGAUUCCAUUAUUUACAUCCUCUCGACCGCUAGCUCUCACUAGCUACCUGCAGGCACAUAUUUCGCCUAGCCACGCCACACAUGGUGCUCGAGAACUGAUGCUGCCGAGCAUAUCGUUGUGUACAUUCUACUCAUGGGUUAGAUUUUUUAGUUGAAUACAGUUUUGCAAACAGAUUAUUUAUGUAUGUUUCUUAGAAAACAUUGCUCCUUGAAUAAUACCCCAUGAUACUUAAACAAGCUCUAUGUCAUUUUUACUAGUUCAGUUUGGUGGUGGUUUAUAUUGAGGAUUUGAUCAUUGCUCAUGCAUGCUAAAAAAUUUAUCUAACAUGCAGUUUUGUUCAGGUACAUUUCAUUCUUUUGUACAUUGAAAACUAUUGUUGGUAUAUUUUAUAGCUAGACUGUGCACAUAAGUGUAGAGGCCAUUAGUUAUGUUGUUCAAGCUAUGUUGGUAUCUGUUUGAAGAUUAAUUCCAGUCGGAUAUGUUCCAUUGUCAUCUGACAUUUAAUAGUAAAAUAUACUAUUGAAAAUUAGUUAAAUAUACAUUGAAUAGUUCAAAUAAAGAAAUGUCAUGUCAGAUAAGUUAAGCUGACUACAUAUUUGUCAAUGGCUUUAUCAAAUGUAGGUUUCAAAUCAGAUGUCAUUCAGAACUCAUCCUUGAAUUACCUGUAUACUUGAUUAACUGGACUACAUCAUGGAGUUGUCGCCUUUGAAGUUUGAUGAAAUAAGGCCCAUGGUUGUUUGCUUUCCACUCUUAAAUUGCCUUUGGUUUGAAAGAAGGCCCAUGGUUGUUUGCUUUCCACUCUUAAAUUGCCUUUUUGACAGCAACAAAAAACUAUACUAAUAGGAGUUUUGAUUUCCCUUCUUCCUGUACUUUUUCUAUAUCACAAAGAAUUGUUCAUGCCUUAUUUGUCCAUUUCAUGUUGACAUUUCAACUUGACCAUUACAAGAACAUCAUGAUUUUCUUUAUGAUUAUUGCUGUUGUAGAGGUGUUAAAUAUAUAAAGUAUGAAAGGUGUAAUUUCAUGAGAGUACUUUGUAAUAUCAGCUUCCUUUGCCUGAUUGAUGUUGCUUUACAGUCUUAUUUGUCGGCAUUUUGUUCGGCGAGUUAAUGCUUUUUCCAUGCUGUGAGGUCGUAUAUGUUGCAGGCACAGAGCACCUAAGUUUUUCCCAUAGACACAAAAGCAAUGUUCCGGCUGUAGCAUUAAUUACACACACUAGUAUUUCCUAGGCUGCUAUAUAAAUAUGUACGAAAGGAUUGCUAUAUCAAAUACACGCUUAUGAUCAGUGCGUAUUAUCUUCCUUCACAAUGCUUACCCUGCUUACAGUAAUCUACAUGGGUCUGGUUCCUUUUAAUAUCAAUAUUUGUCAUCAGAUUCUGAUAUACAUUGUUUCAGUCCAAAUGAUACAGGGUGCACAUUUUCUACAUUUAAUUUCGACUAAGACUUUCUUUUCUUGGUGGUAUGAUCACUUAUCAGUAAUUUGAUGGUUAUCUAUAUAUGUUGAAUUUUCAUAGCAUUUUAACCUCCGAUAUCAAUAUAUUUUCAUAAUAUAAAUUGUUCAAUUUCAUUUCCAACGUAUUUUGCUCAUAUAUUUUUAUUAUUUCAUAAUAUGAAUGGUAUGACAAAUAUAUGAUUUAGUAUUUUGCAAAAAAAAUCUUGACUUGUGUAUUUUUCAAAAUUCCUUUCAUUCUUUUAAAAAUAGACGGGCGCGGCAAUGCGCGCCAUCCAUGAUCUAGUCAUAAGUGAUGUCCCGACCAGAUUCUUUCAACGUCAAUGAUUUUACUUUUUGGCAAGAUACUUUGGAGGUACGUAAAGCUAUAGAUCAGCGAUGGAUCAAAGUUGAGGUCAGGUAAAGAGGCGAUCUGUCCACUUCUUCUAGGGUGGCCGCUACGGUGGUGCCAGAUUUGAGUGACGGGCAUUGGUAUCUUGCUCAAGGGUUUCUUCAGCCGAGAUUGUAAUUUUCUUUCUCGACUAGCUAAGGGUAGUUUUUGCAAUAGCUAGGGUUGUCCUAUCUUUUUUUGGUUCUGUCAAGUUGGUGUUUAAGUGGAUCGUAAUUUGAUAUUUAUUUUAUAAAUGAGACACACAUGACAUCAAGUAAAAAAAAUCAAGGCUACAGAUCAACAUGACCUCGUGUAUCCCGCAUGANNNNNNNNNNNNNNNNNNNNNNNNNNNNNNNNNNNNNNNNNNNNNNNNNNNNNNNNNNNNNNNNNNNNNNNNNNNNNNNNNNNNNNNNNNNNNNNNNNNNNNNNNNNNNNNNNNNNNNNNNNNNNNNNNNNNNNNNNNNNNNNNNNNNNNNNNNNNNNNNNNNNNNNNNNNNNNNNNNNNNNNNNNNNNNNNNNNNNNNNNNNNNNNNNNNNNNNNNNNNNNNNNNNNNNNNNNNNNNNNNNNNNNNNNNNNNNNNNNNNNNNNNNNNNNNNNNNNNNNNNNNNNNNNNNNNNNNNNNNNNNNNNNNNNNNNNNNNNNNNNNNNNNNNNNNNNNNNNNNNNNNNNNNNNNNNNNNNNNNNNNNNNNNNNNNNNNNNNNNNNNNNNNNNNNNNNNNNNNNNNNNNNNNNNNNNNNNNNNNNNNNNNNNNNNNNNNNNNNNNNNNNNNNNNNNNNNNNNNNNNNNNNNNNNNNNNNNNCUUCGUCGCCAUGGAUGACUCCCUGCUAUCCCCCGUCACCGUCAAGGUCGCUGGCGCUCCUUCUCCUCGGGCGGAUCUCGUCGUCGGCCUUAUUGGCCCCGCCGUUGCCCAAGGUCAAGUCGCGCUUGCCCGCAAGCGGCAGGGCAACGUGGUCGUGCAGGGCGGCGCUCCGGCAGCCCCCGCUACGAGGGCCCGCGCUCCGGGCGCCAACGCUGCUGCGCGAUCUCGGACGGCAUCGGAGAAGGUCGCCAAGGUCGCCGGCGUCAAGAGGAAGGAGAUUCCGGCCACAAAGAAUCUGCCUCCUUCAUCCGCUCACUCUGGCCCGAAAAGAGGUGCCCUGGCGAUGCCGCUCAACGGUGCUGCUCCCCCCGCAAGCGAGGUGUUUGACGAAAUGGCCGGAAGGUAUGUGUCUUCGGUCAUGGCAAUUUUCUUUGCUUUUCGCCAUUUUGCGAUAGCUCGUGACUUGUUGUGCUUCACUAUAGCGGUGGUUCGAACAAUGCAACUGCUGAGUUCGUGAACUUGUUGGACACCAACGCCGUUGACAUUGAUCAAGUCCCGUUUGAAGCAUUCGACUACAAUGAAACGGAGGCUAGCAUGGACGAUCAUGGUUUUCAGGACGAUUUAGAGGAGAUCGAAGCGGAAGCAUAUGAGCAAUCGCAAACAAAAACUAGGAAAAGCCAGAGAUUGAAGAACUACACGAUCUUGGAAGAUCAAGUUCUCAUCAAUGCAUGGAGUGCGGUGUCUCUUGAUGCAUGCACGGGUACUUCUCAAGCCGCCAAGUGGUAUUGGCAAAGGCUCGAAGAUCAAUACUUCUGCAUGAUGGCAAAGUACCCCAAUAGGACUCCAUGCACAUUUCGGUCUCUUCAAGGUCGUUGGGAGAAUAUCAAGCCUAUGUGCAGCCGUUGUGGGUGGGGAGGAGUGCCUUAUAUGGAGAGGAAGGGGCUUGGGUGAGAGGUAGAUGGAUCUGAUCGAUCUGCGGCGGCAAGGCGCAGUGCAAAGCCGAGACGGGGUAGAGAUUGGUAGGGUUCCGUGGCGCGCGCGGCUGCGAGUGGUGGACGAUCGCGGCGGGAGGGAAGGGGGCGGGAGUCCGCUUGGGAGACGAUGGCGGCAGGUAGGGAUAGUUCAUCGAUGGAGUUUGUUAGACGGAAGGAGAGGGAGAGGAGACUCGCGCGCGGCUAAAACGGGAUUCACCUGCUGUUAAUUAAUUUGACAGCGCAGCGGCAGAGAGAGAGAGAGAUAGAAAGAGAGAGACUGCCGCGCGGUUUAAACGGCCCGGGAUUCACUUGCUGUUAAUUUGACAGCACAGCGCCGCAGAGAGAGGGAGAUAGAUUCUACCAUACCCUCCAUACGGUUUAAACGGAAUCACUUUCUGUUAAUUUGACAGCGUGGCACUAGAGAGAGAGAGAGAGAGAGAGAGAGAUUAAGUCCCCAAGAGGAAUCGUUGGAACAUAUAUGCUGCAACAUGUAAAUCAAUGUUUCCAAUGACAAGAAGAAUAGAUAACAUGAAAAGUAUUUGGUGGCAUGAGCACAAUAUCUGCCACAGACCUUCGGACUCAUCGGGCAAUGUAACCCCAUGUGAUUGCAACAAACCGAAUGUAGGUGUUUAGAGCAUCUUCAACAGGCGAUCAAAAACUGCUCCGCGCGCUAAAACUUGGGUUUUUUGGGCGCCGGAUAGAGCAGAAACUGUAAAAUAGUGCACACGCAAAAAAAGGUUGGGCACGCGCGGAAAAAUGCUAUCGCAUGCUGUAAAUUUGAGGCGCCUGAUUGCCGCGCUUCACAAUUUACACUGCAUGCUUUUUUGGGCGCGAGUUUUUUCGCAUCUGGUAAAGCAAUGUUGGGUCCGGCACGCUAAAAGUGCUACAGUGGUGCGCUAAAACUAUUUUAGACGCGAAAGUUUUGUACAUCUGUUGGAGAUGCUCUUAUAUAUUGAAGAAAUCUACACCAAACCGUGUGAUCCCGACACUAGGCACCCCCCGGGCACCUUUUCCCCAUGGUCGGGCAACAUAUUUUUUAGAAAUGCAACGACGUUGCAUUUAAUUGAUGAAGAAGAAGAAACAUUUACAAUGCUAGAUUGAGCACACAAACCCACAACAACACACAAGAACGCAAACACGAGCACCAUAGCAACACCACGCCCUAGAAGAGAAGGAACUCAGCUUCAAAGAUCAUGAAGGCUUGAUGGGGCGAGGAAGGUGUAGCAAUUCCAUCAUCCUAACCAAGCAAGGCGCACACCUAGAGACUUAUUCAUCUGGUUGCCAUCCAACAACACCCCCAAAAGAGAGGGAGGGUGUCGUAUGGGAGCAAGCUAAUCGCAGAAGGAUCACACUAGCUAACCUGGCUUCAGACGCAAGCGCCAGACUUGCCAACAUGAAAUUGAGAACUUGGAUCACAUCUGCCCAACACCAACAACAUCGGCACCCUCCUACCACUGGUCCCUCCAACCGGUAGCACAAAAGAUGAUGCCCCAAGAGGAGCUCCGCACCGACAUCAUCAUAUCUAACCUCCUAGAGGGUCGGAGAGCCUUUGUCUACCCCGGCCACAACCGGAAUCGAGGACCUAGCCCAAUAUAGUGCCACCUCCUCUCGCCCGUGUCAAUAACGUUCAGACCGUGACCAUCAUCGCCUGCCCAAUACCUGCCAACCCCCGGCACCCAAUGACUGCCACAACCACCAUUAGAUCUGGGCCCCGGGGCCCAAACUCUCUUCUGCUUAUAAUUUUUAUUACUUCUGGUGUUCUCUACACAGUCAUUAUAUGACAAAUAAUGAAUAAAGUGGAAGUUUCUUCCAGAAAAACUCUCUUACAAGUGUAAUCUCUGCUGAUCAGUUCCCAUGGCGUAAUAUUACGUUAAGGUAGAGCAUAAUAGAAUAUGGGGUCGUUCGACUACUGUCAUGUUAUAUGAUCGAGUCAAUAAAUUGUUGCUUCUUGGACAAUAAACAAGAGUUUUAAACAAGAUGCAGAUGCACGUGUGGGCGUCCGCUCGUCACUCUGUUUGUGUGGUACAAUGGCUUAGUGUGUGUGUACAUCACAUGAGUGCAGAUUUCUGUAUGAUUUUAUUUAUAGCUGCUCAGACUGGACAUAUUUGACAUAACUUAUCAACAGAUUAAUCUAAUAGAGUGAAGUUUAUUUUUCCUCGCAAAAAAAUAUUUAUUUUAUUUUCUUGUGAAUAGAAAAACUGCACCUUUCCCAGGUGUUGAUUUACCAUUUGGCGUUGCCGUUUGUGCAUGCAUGCACUUCAACUUUUUGCAUGAGCUUUCUGUUAGGAUCUUUUUCGUUUCCGAUUAAAUUUUCUGCAACCACGCUUUGCUACUUUUUCGUUCCAAAAGAAAGCUGAUCAGACGAGUAUGUGAUGUGCAGUGUUCAUCCUUGUAAUCGUUAGAAGUGGAUGAACAAAGCGUGCAAUCAAGACACAUUUAUCCAACUUCAAGCACGUAUCGAUCAAACUAUUGCACAACUUUAGACCUAAUAAACCUUCUAAUGGUACCAAUCUACUAACAUUUACACACGUAUGAUGCCUAAUAGUGUUAAUACCACGAUCGUAGCACAUCAGAAUACUCUCUAUCAAUCUGCAUGCUUGCUGUAUCAUCGAUCACUGCUUCUCGUCGACGGGGGCUUCCUCCUCUUUCUUCGCCUCCUGCAUGAUGGUCACGCCGAAGAGCCUCAGGCAUCCCGCCGGCACCACCGGCACUUGCGGGGGCUGCACCGCCGGCACCACAACAGGCGCUUCCAUGGCAGGCGCCAGCCCGGGGAUCGCGACCCCGAUGACGUCCGGGGGUAAGAGGAGGCGCGCCCAUUUCCUCGGCACGAUGGGCUUGCCCGUGUAGUGCUUCCUCAUGUGCCCACCUAGCUGGACGCCGCUGGUGUACACUUCGCCGCAGACCUUGCAGGUGUGGAGCUUCUCCGGCCUAGGCCCGCCCGCUGCUAUGGGGUCGACCCCCGCUGCUAUGGCUGCAGCGGCGGCCGUUGCGAUCCUCCGGUUCUUGUGGCCGGCGACGUGUCCGCCCAGCCCCUGGUGCGUCUCGAACCACCGGUUGCACUCCUUGCACGAGAAUCCAUGCGGGGCGGCCGGGUCCUGGUGCAGUGGCCAGUGGAAGGCCAGCGGUGGGACGGCGGCAGCAUGCUGCUGUGCGGCGGCGGGGAGGGUGGAGAUAGACGGCGGCUGGCUCUGGUGCUGGUGCGACCGGCGGUGGGACGGGGUCUUGCCGAUGUGCAGAAGGCGUUGGGGCGAUGUUGACUUAAUUGGGUGCAGCGGCGGGUGCUGCUGCCUCUGACACCACGAUGGCCAUGGAAAGAUCAGCAGCACUCUGAGUGGGCUCCAUGCUGCUGGACCUCCUGCUGCUGCCGCUGCCGACGAGGACCUGAUCGCUGCUCGGCACCUCCACGGUCAUCGGGUCGUCCGGGGUCUUGGGCUCCUCGACGACAUAUGCUAUGGACGCGGACACGGAGUCAGCCACCUGGUCCACGGCGCUGACCGUGGCAGACGCCUUCGCCUCCUCCUUGGGCUGGGCCUGCGCGUGGACCCUCAUGUGGCCAUGGACGGCCUUGGAGCUGUGGAACUGCCUGUGGCAGACGGGGCAGGCCGGGAAUAACGCGGUGGCGGCAGCAGUAUCGCCGCCGGCGUGGCCGUCGUCUCUGAUGGUCUCGUCGGAGAGCGAGGACGACGGCGACGAGCGCCGGGUAGUCGAUCUUGAUCUUCUUGACCCGGCGCUGACCACGUCCUCCGGUACAGGGCCGGGGCCAGGGCGGGCGACCGUGACCAUCUGGUGCUGGCGGUGGUCGUUGAGGGGCAGUGGAUGGAGGAAGUAGCGCGCGUCCUCGUCGUCGGUGUCGGUGUCGGAGCCCGUGUAGUAGGCGGAGGCGACCUCGCCCUCCUCGAUGUCCCGGCGCCGGCGCGGUGGCUGGGCCGGGCGAUCAUCAUCCGCGGAGCCGGCCAUGGAAGGAAACCAGAUGGUAGAUCGAUCGACUGGCAGCGAGGAGAGAGAGCGAGAAGCUAGGGUUUUGGAAUCGCACGCUGCGCUCGAGAUUUUAGGGCUUGGCUUGUGUUGUGGCCUGUGUGGGGUCUGUGCUUCGCUUGUGGGUGGAGGGAGGUAGAGGGAAAGUGGGGUGCCUUAUAUGGAGAGUGACGGCUUGGGUGAGGGGUAGCUCCGUUGGGCGGCGGCAAGGCGCGGCGGGAGGCCGAGACGGGGUGGAGAAGUAGAGAUAGAGUUGGAGUCGGUAGGGUUUACGACAGCGGGGCUUCCGUCGCGCGCGCGGCUGCGAGCGGGGGAUCGCGGCGGGAAGGGGACGGGAGUCUGCUUCGGAGACGAUGGGUGGCGGGGCUGGGAUGGAUCCAGUUUGUUACGCGGUUUGAAGGGGAUUCACCUGCUGUUGAUUUUUUUUGACAGCGCAGCGUGGCAGAGAGAUAGAGGGAGACUUCCGCGCGGUUUAAACGGUUUGACAGUACUAGGGAGAGAGAGAGAGAGAGAGAGUACCGCGCGGUUUAAACGGGAUCACCUGCUGUUAAUUUAAGAGAGAGAGAGAGAGAGACUACCGUACCGUGCAGUUUAGACGUGAUCACCUUCUGUUAAUCUUUUUUUGCGGGUUAUUUUCUGUUAAUUUGACAGCGUGGCAGAGAGAGAGAGAGGAGUUAGCAGUUCUUUUUUUUUUCUUUGAGCGGGAGAAGAGAUAGCAGUUUCGUAUAUGGAAACGAAUCUUGGCCGGAUCUGAUCGAUAUUUCUUCGCCAACAAGAUAUAGUACACUAGUGGAGGCAAAGGAAAGUUAAUUAAACCGGUGAAGAGAUUAGAGACGGAGAGAGGAGUCUUUUUUUUUUAGAACGAGAGAGAGGAGUCUAGAUAUUCUUUUUUUUCCUGGCAUGAUAAAGCACAUACCAAAAACAUCGAAGCAGUCCAAACAAAUCAAUACAGUAGCAUUAUUUACUUCCUGUAAAUAAAUGUACUAACCAAUCUCCUAAUGAAGGCCCGAGAAGAAUCAUGCAUGGCAACAUAUAUGCUAAUUUUUUGUUGGUAGCUUACCAAGCUGACCACUUGUAAAAAUAUGCUGCAACAUGUAAAUCAAUGUUUCCAACAAUAAACAAAAUAAUUCCCGAAAAAUAUAACGUGAAGAAUAUUUUGCAGCAUGAGCACAAUAUUUGUAGCAGGCCUUUGGACUCAGUCGGGGCAUGUCACGUGUGUGUAUGCAGUGAAGCAAAUGUGGUUUUGUGACAUAUUGAAGGGAUGAAAGACAAAUCGCGGGAUCCCAACCGGGCCUAUCCACCCGCGGGUAACGUUUCCCCAAAGCCAACCAACAUGGAGGGGGGGGGGUCCCUUUUCAGUCCAACUCCAGCUACUCCAUUGAUCCACGACAUAACCUCGACAACCUUCAACCAAGGGCAGACCAAGGGCGGAUGAAAAACAUAGGAUGGUGGGAGGGGAGUUGUGAGAGGAUAACUGUUUAAGAUAGAUUCACAAAAUCCUCGCUCUAAGAUUAAGGAUAAUGCAUUAUAUAUGUGUUCUACGGAGUUGUAAAUAUAUGAUCCAUUUUUCACCGCUUUAUGACAAAUAAUUGUGUUCAUCGACGUACUGGUCUAUAUUUGCAGGCAUAUCGGGUCAGAUAUCGGCCAUACGGUCGAUAUUUCAGUCCAUGUCAGAAGAUAUGUGUGAAAAUAAUAUUUACAAAAUGAUAUUUACUAAUAUAUCAGCCUAUAUAUCAAUCAUAUCAGCCUAGAUUUAAAAGCUUGAUCUCAGCCCUCCGUUUGGUUGAAGAUUGCAAUGCAUGUAUGCUUAUCUUCUUUACAUGCAUGGCGCCACGGACUACUUUUAGGGGGGCCCAUGCAUUCAUGCAUGAUGUCAACUAAUAGCAUUAUGCUCCCCCCAUCCCAUGUCCCAUACGUUUUCAUUUCACCCUUAAAUUUCAAUAUAUUUUUGUUCUAGAUGUGGUAUGAGAACUAACACAGUGAGGCAACACUGAACAUCAUGUCGUACUCAAUAUUUCUGCACUGUACUAGUACUAACUAGGGAUGCAGUGUACUACUAACAAGAUAUUGCAAAUCACAGCGGCACAGAGAUGACAUGGGUGGAGGCGGAGAUAGACGCACCUAUGAUCUCCGUCGUCGUGGAGGUUGAUGCCGUGGCUGCGGAGGAUGGCCCGGAGAUUGGUGCGUUGAGGAUGCUCCUCGACCUUGUGCUCCAACUAUUCAAGGCAGAAGUGGUCAAUGCGUUUGCUCCUGCCCAGAUUACAUACACCAGUGCAUAGAUUUCAGAAUCGAACAAAUCAGAUGUGCAAGAGAGGAGGGAUAGGGAGGAGGGGGCUUACCUGAAGGAGGCGUCUUUGCUGCGGACGAGGAGUAGGACGAGGAGCAUAAACUAUCUUUUGAACCAAAAGUCCUAAUUAAGUUUUGUUUGCAUAUUUGUGUUCCUUGUGACAAGGGCUUUGAAAUAAGACCAAUUUUCAAUAUGUGUUUACAUUUUUUUAAAAGUUUUUGCUAAGUUUCCACAGCCAAAACUUAAUAGCAAUGGACGAUAAAAUUAGUAAACUUAAAACUAGGGAGGAGCAAGAACGCCAGCGCAAGCAGCUCGAGCGACGUGGCGGAGGAGGGCCAAGUACGCCCCGAGCGAGACCCUAUGGCGUAACUCCUCCCGCGGGAUCAGCUUGGCGCUGGCUUCGCGUGCAGGGGCUCCUCCAUCUCCGCCUUGUGCUGAGCGCCGUGGGGGUGGUGAUGGAGGGGGGGUGAGGAUGGAGAGGGCGAGGGCAGCAAGGAGGAAGAUGAGACCGACGGCGCCGAGGAGCGGGCGCUGCGGACAUGGGAAGAGGAGGUGUAAGGCGAGGCAAGA